Molecule: long non-coding RNA, 666 nt
Filed under: Numida meleagris (helmeted guineafowl)
Lineage: Eukaryota; Metazoa; Chordata; Aves; Galliformes; Numididae
Description: lncRNA (ENSNMEG00000005854.1)
Source: RNAcentral
UUCUGAUCCGGGUGGCACGUUAAAUUCCUCCGGGUGUUGGUUGAGCAGAUGUGGAGGAGAUUGGCCACUGCACUGCUGCAAAAUUAACGGCUGAGAUUAUAGGUCUACAAUGGGAAUGACCCAAAUGUUUUCUCACUUUUAUUUUUAUUUCUUUCCAGAGGAGAGUUUUUUAUAAACACUGAUGCGUAACGACAUUGAGAAGGAGGCUGCAUUAUGUAACCUUGAGGAGGAAAGCUGGAUUUGAGCACGCCGCAAUUAAGCCCGUAUUGUAAAUAACUGCAGGAGAGCUUGUGGGAGCACCCGAGUGCUGGACGCUUCUUCAAAACACAGAUGGAUUUUCCAUUCAUGGUUUACACUUUGUACCUCGUUGCCAACAUCGCCAUCGCUGCUCGCUGCCCUGUGUGCCUCUCCUCUCACGUGGCAGCAGGGCAAGAAAGCCAUGAGAACACGGAACCAGGCCGUCAGGAUGAGCAGGAAUUUCCAGAGCAUCCUGUUGCACAGAGCUGGUGGGGUGAUGAUGGCACAGACUGGGCUCCAAGCUCUGCUCUUCUCCUUGGGCAGCUCUCCGUCCUGUACUGCUGCGUUGAGUGUCACACCCAAGGAAAGAGCCACCUGGUACAGCAGCAGGGGAAGAGCUACAAUAUAGUUGGAAUGAAACUGGGAUGA